This 412-nucleotide RNase P RNA is filed under the name Phycisphaerae bacterium. RNAcentral's name for it is "RNase P RNA component class A". It matches the Rfam family "Bacterial RNase P class A". From Rfam's summary of the family: Ribonuclease P (RNase P) is a ubiquitous endoribonuclease, found in archaea, bacteria and eukarya as well as chloroplasts and mitochondria. Its best characterised activity is the generation of mature 5'-ends of tRNAs by cleaving the 5'-leader elements of precursor-tRNAs. The record is from RNAcentral. Lineage: Bacteria; Pseudomonadati; Planctomycetota; Phycisphaerae.
UCUGAUGCGUGGAAGACCGCUCCGGCCUUGUGUCGGGGAGGAAAGUCCGAGCACCGCUGGAUCACGGUGGUGGGUAACGCCCACCGUUUGGGCGCGGCGAUUCGUCGCGGCGAACAAGCCGGGAAAGUGCCACAGAAAAUAUACCGCCCGGGGCCUUGCGCCUCGGGUAAGGGUGAAAUGGUGCGGUAAGAGCGCACCGCGGGCGUCGUGAGGCGACCGGCAUGGCAAACCCCACCGGGUGCAAAGCCAAGCAGCGAUGAGGCCCGAUCCAGGCCGCUUGAAUCGCGGGUAGGCUGCUUUCCCUUACGGGAAGAGCUCGUCUGCAAAGGCGGGUCAAGACAAAUGGUCUUCGCCUCGCCGCGGCGCCCACCGCGACGAGGAACAGAACUCGGCUUACAGCGCAUCAGGCAGG